Molecule: ribosomal RNA, 164 nt
Filed under: uncultured bacterium
Lineage: Bacteria
Description: partial 16S rRNA
Rfam family: Bacterial small subunit ribosomal RNA
Source: RNAcentral
UAGGGAAUCUUCCACAAUGGGCGAAAGCCAGAUGGAGCAACGCCGCGUGUGUGAUGAAGGGUUUCGGCUCGUAAAACACUGUUGUAAGAGAAGAAUGACAUUGAGAGUAACUGUUCAAUGUGUGACGGUAUCUUACCAGAAAGGAACGGCUAAAUACGUGCCAG